GCCCCGUUAGCUCAGUCGGUAGAGCACCGCCAUGGUAAGGCGGUUGUCGCCGGUUCAAUUCCGGCACGGGGCU
Molecule: transfer RNA, 73 nt
Filed under: Acidimicrobium ferrooxidans
Lineage: Bacteria; Bacillati; Actinomycetota; Acidimicrobiia; Acidimicrobiales; Acidimicrobiaceae
Also listed under: 1 other name
Description: tRNA-Thr
Rfam family: tRNA
About the family: Transfer RNA (tRNA) molecules are approximately 80 nucleotides in length.
Source: RNAcentral